AGCUUUGCACAGUGGCAGUAUCGUAACCAGUGAGGUUUACGAGGUGCGAUUAUUGCUAAUUGAAAA
RNAcentral lists this small nuclear RNA (66 nucleotides) under Cervus elaphus hippelaphus. It matches the Rfam family "U4 spliceosomal RNA", at positions 1 to 68 of the family's 138-position model. Rfam says of the family: U4 small nuclear RNA (U4 snRNA) is a component of the major U2-dependent spliceosome. The record is from RNAcentral. Lineage: Eukaryota; Metazoa; Chordata; Mammalia; Artiodactyla; Cervidae.